Molecule: long non-coding RNA, 1179 nt
Filed under: Ananas comosus (pineapple)
Lineage: Eukaryota; Viridiplantae; Streptophyta; Magnoliopsida; Poales; Bromeliaceae
Description: long non-coding RNA (ACOM_LNC014743)
Source: RNAcentral
UCUAUGCUGCUAAUUGAUUAAUAAAUGCUACUAAAAAGUUUAGCAGCAUAUGACACCAAAUGCUGUCUAUACCAAUGUAAAGUAUUAGCAACAUUUAUAAUAAAUACCGCCAAUAUAAAUUAAUUAGUGUCAUUAGGAGCAUGCCACUAAAAGGGAUUAAAUGCUAAUUUUAAGUUAUUUAUUAGUUGCACAUAAAUAUAAUGCCGCUAAUAUAAAUAUCUGAUUUUACGAACUGAAAUUUUAAAAUUUUAAUUUUAUUUUAACUUCUUUUAGAAAUAAAUUUAGCUGAAAUGUGAAUCAAUUAGGAUUUGAACUUGAGACCUCAGCUACCAACCACCAAGCCAUUUGCUACUUGCGCUAACUACUAUCAGUUAUAUAUAUUUUAGUUUUUUAAAUUUUAAGUCUUCAAUUUUAAAAUUUUAAAAUUUAAAAUUUAGAUACUAAAUUUAAAUUUUUAAUUUUUAAAUAUCAAAUUUUAAGUUUCAAAAUUUAUAGUUUUAAAUUUGAAAUUUUAAAUUUAAAAUAAAUUUAAAAAUUUAAAAGUUAAAAAUUAAAAAUUAAAAAUUUUAGAGUUUAAAAUUUAAAAUAUAAAUUUUAAAAUUUUAAAUUUUAAGUUAUAAGUUUAAUUUUUAAAAUUAUAAGUCUCGAGUUUUAAACUUUAAUUUUAAAAUUUUUAAUUCUAAGUAAAAAUGGAUAUAUUAAUAAUUAUAUAUUGAUUAGUAAUGAUAUUUAGUAACAAGUGCUGCUAGUUUAUUAUAUUUAGCGGCAUUCACUAAUUUACGUCGCUAAUUUAUUCUAUUCUGCAACAUUAAUAGUAAAUUCCUGCUAAAUAAUUAAAUUUAGCGACAAUUAUCUAGUAAUAUUGUUAAAUAUAUUAAUUAGCAUGAUUUAAAUAAAUGUUGCGGAACAAAUAUGGUGGCAUUUAGUAAUAAGUGCUGCUACUUUAUUAUAUUUAGUGUCAUUUUUAUAAAAUGCUGAAAAUUUCAGCGGCAUUUACUAAUUUAUACCGCUAAUUUAUCCUAUUUUGCAAUAUUAAUUAGUAAAUUGCUGCUAAAUUAUUAAAUCUAGCGGCACUUAUCAAGUAAAAUUGUUAAGUAUAUUAAUUAGCGUUAUUUAAAUAAAUGUUGCGGAGUAAAUGUCGCUAAAUUAUGAAUUUAAUUGAACACAUUUUUGCCAUUA